AGAGUUUGAUCAUGGCUCAGGAUGAAUGCUGGCGGCGUGCCUAACACAUGCAAGUCGAGCGGCAGCGAGGGGUGCUUGCACCCUGUCGGCGAGCGGCGAACGGCUGAGUAACGCGUAGGAAUUUGCCCCAAAGUGAGGAAUAACUGCCCGAAAGGGUAGCUAAUGCCGCAUAUGGUCUUCGGAUUAAAGGAUUUAUCCGCUUUGGGAGAAGCCUGCGUUGGAUUAGGUUGUUGGUAGGGUAAUGGCCUACCAAGCCGACGAUCCAUAGCUGGUCUGAGAGGAUGAUCAGCCAGACUGGAACUGAGACACGGUCCAGACUCCUACGGGAGGCAGCAGUGAGGAAUCUUCCACAAUGGGCGAAAGCCUGAUGGAGCAACGCCGCGUGAAGGAUGAAGGCCUUCGGGUUGUAAACUUCUUUUAUGAGUGAAGAAUAUGACGGUAACUCAUGAAUAAGCACCUGCUAACUACGUGCCAGCAGCCGCGGUCAUACGUAGGGUGCAAGCAUUAUCCGGAGUGACUGGGCGUAAAGAGUUGCGUAGGCGGUUUAAUAAGUGAAUAGUGAAACCUGGUGGCUCAACCAUACAGACUAUUAUUCAAACUGUUAAACUCGAGAAUGGUAGAGGUAACUGGAAUUUCUUGUGUAGGAGUGAAAUCCGUAGAUAUAAGAAGGAACACCAAUGGCGUAGGCAGGUUACUGGGCCAUUUCUGACGCUAAGGCACGAAAGCGUGGGGAGCGAACCGGAUUAGAUACCCCGGUAGUCCAA
RNAcentral lists this ribosomal RNA (764 nucleotides) under uncultured bacterium. Its description in RNAcentral is "bacterial SSU rRNA". It matches the Rfam family "Bacterial small subunit ribosomal RNA", at positions 8 to 798 of the family's 1533-position model. The record is from RNAcentral.